CUACGGGCGGCUGCAGUGGGGAAUAUUGCACAAUGGGCGCAAGCCUGAUGCAGCCAUGCCGCGUGUAUGAAGAAGGCCUUCGGGUUGUAAAGUACUUUCAGCGGGGAGGAAGGGAGUAAAGUUAAUACCUUUGCUCAUUGACGUUACCCGCAGAAGAAGCACCGGCUAACUCCGUGCCAGCAGCCGCGGUAAUACGGAGGGUGCAAGCGUUAAUCGGAAUUACUGGGCGUAAAGCGCACGCAGGCGGUUUGUUAAGUCAGAUGUGAAAUCCCCGGGCUCAACCUGGGAACUGCAUCUGAUACUGGCAAGCUUGAGUCUCGUAGAGGGGGGUAGAAUUCCAGGUGUAGCGGUGAAAUGCGUAGAGAUCUGGAGGAAUACCGGUGGCGAAGGCGGCCCCCCGGACGAAGACUGACGCUCAGGUGCGAAAGCGUGGGGAGCAAACAGGAUUAGAUACCCGAGCAGUC
This 464-nucleotide ribosomal RNA is filed under the name uncultured bacterium. RNAcentral describes it as "partial 16S ribosomal RNA". It matches the Rfam family "Bacterial small subunit ribosomal RNA", at positions 339 to 795 of the family's 1533-position model. The record is from RNAcentral.